RNAcentral lists this ribosomal RNA (253 nucleotides) under uncultured bacterium. RNAcentral's name for it is "partial 16S ribosomal RNA". It matches the Rfam family "Bacterial small subunit ribosomal RNA", at positions 524 to 776 of the family's 1533-position model. The record is from RNAcentral.
UACGUAGGGGGCGAGCGUUGUCCGGAUUUAUUGGGCGUAAAGAGCGUGUAGGCGGCCAGGUAGGUCGGUUGUGAAAACUGGAGGCUUAACCUUCAGACGUCGACCGAAACCAUCUGGCUAGAGUCCGGAAGAGGAGAGUGGAAUUCCUGGUGUAGCGGUGAAAUGCGCAGAUAUCAGGAAGAACACCCGUGGCGAAGGCGGCUCUCUGGGACGGUACUGACGCUGAGGCACGAAAGCGUGGGGAGCAAACAGG